AACGAACGCUGGCGGCAUGCCUAACACAUGCAAGUCGAACGAGACCUUCGGGUCUAGCGGCGCACGGGUGCGUAACGCGUGGGAACCUGCCCUUAGGUUCGGAAUAACUCCCCGAAAGGGGUGCUAAUACCGGAUAAUGUCUUCGGACCAAAGAUUUAUCGACUUUGGGUGGGCCCGCGUUGGAUUAGCUAGUUGGUAGGGUAAAAGCCUACCAAGGCGACGAUCCAUAGCUGGUCUGAGAGGAUGAUCAGCCACACUGGGACUGAGACACGGCCCAGACUACUACGGGAUGCAGCCGAGGGGAAUAUUGGACAAUGGGCUAAAGCAUGAUGCAGCAAUGCCGCGUAAGUGAUGAAGGCCUUAGGGUUGUAAAGCUCUUUUAACCGGGAUGAUAAUGACAGUACCGGGAGAAUAAGCGCCGGCUAACUCCGUG
RNAcentral lists this ribosomal RNA (433 nucleotides) under uncultured bacterium. RNAcentral's name for it is "partial 16S ribosomal RNA". It matches the Rfam family "Bacterial small subunit ribosomal RNA", at positions 29 to 507 of the family's 1533-position model. The record is from RNAcentral.